RNAcentral lists this unclassified non-coding RNA (301 nucleotides) under uncultured fungus. RNAcentral describes it as "sequence contains ITS1". The record is from RNAcentral. Lineage: Eukaryota; Fungi.
UUUUUUCAUUAAUUUGUUAUAGUCAUUAGGAAGAGUAAACUUGCUAACUUCUAAUUAUUGAAAAUCAUAAUCAGUACAUUGUUAAAUGUAAUGUAUUGGGUGUGUUAAAAAUGGGCAUCCGAAGACACCACAAGUUUUAAUACGGUUACGUGGGACGCAAAAGUCGGACUCGAGUCGGUUUUAAGGACUCUCAUCUUUCUCUUGUUUUUCAGUCUUCUAAUCAAUCGAUCGCAAGCGAUUAACUGACUAGAUUCAGAAAAGAGGUGUGGUAAUGAUCCUUCCGCAGGUUCACCUACGGAAA